CUUUAUUUCGCCUGUUAUACUUUAUAAAUAUAAAUAUGUUUGUUUAGUUUAUCUGUGAAUUUGAAACAGAAUGAAAAAAAAUUGCCAAAAUGAGACAGAAGUCACAUUAUUAUAUUCUUCAUUGUUCUCAUUUUUCUUUAUGCAUAUGUAUAUAUUAGGGAUAAGCGAGGGGGAAUUUACUAGUUAAAAACGUGAACACUUGACUACCGGUAUUACGCCUCACAUUACCCGUAUUACUAAGUAUUACACGUUAUUACAGAGAUUUUUGCGUUAUUACAGCACCGUAAUACGGCAUUAUUACAAGUUGGAAUAUGAAACAUUGUCAACAAUACUUUAUCUAUUACGAACUUUUGGAGUUUAAUUUUCGAAAGACAAGCAAACUAAGAGGACAGCUUUGUUAAUAUUUAUUCUAGAUAAUAUUAACAUAUCACAUUUAAUAAUGUAACGCAUUUUUCUCGUACAAAUUUUUUAUUCUUCUCUUAAUACAACUAGUGAACAAUCUUAUAUGAAAAUUAUAAUGUAAUAAUUAUCACAAUAUUAAUAUCUUUUAACUUAUAUUAACAUAUUAAAACGUAAUGCGUAAUUUUCAUAAAAUUAUUAAUUAAAGACAGUCAUAUAACGCA
Leptopilina boulardi is the source of this 623-nucleotide long non-coding RNA. RefSeq lists it as uncharacterized. Lineage: Eukaryota; Metazoa; Arthropoda; Insecta; Hymenoptera; Figitidae. The transcript is spliced from 2 exons. The record is from RefSeq and is a predicted model, not a curated record.